GUGGGGAAUUUUGGACAAUGGGCGCAAGCCUGAUCCAGCAAUGCCGCGUGCAGGAAGAAGGCCUUCGGGUUGUAAACUGCUUUUGUACGGAACGAAAAGGUCUGGGUUAAUACCCUGGGCUCAUGACGGUACCGUAAGAAUAAGCACCGGCUAACUACGUGCCAGCAGCCGCGGUAAUACGUAGGGUGCAAGCGUUAAUCGGAAUUACUGGGCGUAAAGCGUGCGCAGGCGGUUGUGUAAGACAGGCGUGAAAUCCCCGGGCUCAACCUGGGAAUGGCGCUUGUGACUGCACAGCUGGAGUGCGGCAGAGGGGGAUGGAAUUCCGCGUGUAGCAGUGAAAUGCGUAGAUAUGCGGAGGAACACCGAUGGCGAAGGCAAUCCCCUGGGCCUGCACUGACGCUCAUGCACGAAAGCGUGGGGAGCAAACAGGAUUAGAAACCCUGGUAGUCC
This 450-nucleotide ribosomal RNA is filed under the name uncultured bacterium. Its description in RNAcentral is "bacterial SSU rRNA". It matches the Rfam family "Bacterial small subunit ribosomal RNA", at positions 354 to 796 of the family's 1533-position model. The record is from RNAcentral.